UAGUUUGAUGCCUUUGUCUGUU
This 22-nucleotide non-coding RNA is filed under the name Arabidopsis thaliana (thale cress). The record is from RNAcentral. Lineage: Eukaryota; Viridiplantae; Streptophyta; Magnoliopsida; Brassicales; Brassicaceae.